Molecule: ribosomal RNA, 473 nt
Filed under: uncultured bacterium
Lineage: Bacteria
Description: bacterial SSU rRNA
Rfam family: Bacterial small subunit ribosomal RNA
Source: RNAcentral
UGGGGAAUAUUGCACAAUGGGCGAAAGCCUGACGCAGCAACGCCGCGUGAGUGAUGAAGGCCUUCGGGUCGUAAAGCUCUGUCGGAGGGAACGAAUGCUCCUGAAGUUAACAGCCUCAGGAGGUGACGGUACCCUCAAAGGAAGCACCGGCUAACUCUGUGCCAGCAGCCGCGGUAAUACGUAGGUGGCAAGCGAUACUCGGAAUCACUAGGCGUAAAGCGCAGGUAGGCGGUUUGAUAAGUCUUUUGUGAAAGCUCCCGGCUUAACUGGGAGAGGUCAAGGGAUACUAUCGGACUAGAGUGUGGUAGGGGAUACUGGAAUUCCUGGUGUAGCGGUGAAAUGCGUAGAUAUCAGGAGGAAUACCUAUGGCGAAAGCAGGUAUCUGGGCCAUCACUGACGCUGAGCUGCGAAAGCUAGGGGAGCAAACAGGAUUAGAUACCCUGGUAGUCCCUGAGCGGGCUGGCAAGGCGCAU